AAAUAUUUAUUUCUGUUUUUUUUUUUCAAUUAGGUUUAAGCAUAAAAGUGAUUAGUUUUUUUUAGUUUUUAAAGUUAAGCAUAAAGUGAAAGUCGUACAAAAUAAUAAUACUUCCCCAAGAUACACAAGGCAUACAAAUACUUCUGCAAGAUCCAUCCAAGACACAUCUGUUGAUUGUUUCACAAGAGCCGCAAGCAGAGAGUCCAUAUUCAUAAAUACCUGGCAAAAAAAAAACUACAAAACAUACGGCUGUAAACUGUGCUGGCACAAGAAGAUACAAUUAUACUUCAUUUUACCGCUUUUCUACACAAACCUACAUAAAUACGGACACUCUACGUCCAUAUUCAUAAAUACCUGGCAAAAAAAAAACUACAAAACAUACGGCUGUAAACUGUGGUGGCACAAGAAGAUACAUUUAUACUUCAUUUUACCGCUUUUCUACACAAACCUACAUAAAUACGGACACUCUACGUCCAUAUUCAUAAAUACCUGGCGAAAAGAAAACUACAAAUCGUACGGCUGUAAACUGUGGCGGCGCAAUGAGGUACAACACGGCAUCUUCGGAUAGUUUUUCUACACAAACCUACAUAAAUACGGGCAUCUGAUGAAUCUGGGGGCUCCGAGUAGAAUCGCAAGUAGAACCAAUACUUUGUUUUGACACUGAUUCGGCUAUCGGAAAUUAGAUACUGUGGUUAUCGGGUGAAUGGAUAGGAAUAUUAUAUUUUGCUACUAAUAAUUAUAUUACUCGUGAUUAUAUUUUGAUACUAAAACACACAAAGAUGUUUAAUUGUUUGACUGAAGCAGAAUGGGGUUGGACUCUAAAAGCUUCCAGCAAAAUGCUGAUUUACUUUCGGGGACAUGCAUUGAAUAUCCCCAUUCCCCUUUUGGAAAAUUUUCCACAACUAAGAAUUCUUUUCGAUAUACUCGCAGAUGUAUAAAACCCCCGAGGGCAUGCUAUUAUUCAAGAUUUCAUCUUUAGUUUUACAAAUAUUUCCAGUAAACACAUGUACGUGUGUAUGUAUAUAUGAAUAUGUAUACUAUUACGACAAACAAUAUAUAAAUAUGGGAAUAUGGAUUAAACCUAGAACUUGUUGUUGGGAAUGACUCAUCCCUCGGCAGCAACGGGUACGUUGAGGACGGGCUUUGCCUCCAGAGCUGGUUCCUGGGCAGGCUGUGACUGGACGAGCACCUUGGUGGGCAGGAGAUGCUUGAGGGGCUCUAGGAUGCGCGCCUGCUGCAGAUAGGUGAGCUGCUGCUGCUCCAGCUGCAGGAGGCUGAUGCCCAGGUGAACGGUGAGCGACUGGGGCGGGAAGAUGCCAUGGAUGCACAGUUCAUAAAAAUACGAAUCAACGCAAAAUUCAAAAGAAAAUUUGAAACAAGCAAUCCAUGCCCCACAAAACCCCAGAUGUCAAAUUCGUCGUCGUGUGAGAAUACUGGAAAAAUAUCAGUAUAGUUCGGAGCGUCGGAAGUUAAACACAUAAAAAUAAAAUUCUAAAUUUCAAAAUUUUGUAAAAUAUUUAUUUCGGUUUUUUAUUUCGGUUUUUUUUUUCAAUUAGGUUUAAGCAUAAAAGUGAUUAGUUUUUUUUAGUUUUUAAAGUUAAGCAUAAAGUGAAAGUCGUACAAAAUAAUAAUACUUCCCCAAGAUACACAAGGCAUACAAAUACUUCUGCAAGAUCCAUCCAAGACACAUCUGUUGAUUGUUUCACAAGAGCCGCAAGCAGAGAGUCCAUAUUCAUAAAUACCUGGCAAAAAAAAAACUACAAAACAUACGGCUGUAAACUGUGGUGGCACAAGAAGAUACAAUUAUACUUCAUUUUACCGCUUUUCUACACAAACCUACAUAAAUACGGACACUACGUCCAUAUUCAUAAAUACCUGGCGAAAAGAAAACUACAAAUCGUACGGCUGUAAACUGUGGCGGCGCAAUGAGGUACAACACGGCUUCUUCGGAUAGUUUUUCUACACAAACCUACAUAAAUACGGGCAUCUGAUGAAUCUGGGGGCUCCGAGUAGAAUCGCAAGUAGAACCAAUACUUUGUUUUGACACUAAGAUUCGGCUAUCGGAAAUUAGAUACUGUGGUUAUCGGGUGAAUGGAUAGGAAUAUUAUAUUUUGCUACUAAUAAUUAUAUUACUCGUGAUUAUAUUUUGAUACUAAAACACACAAAGAUGUUUAAUUGUUUGACUGAAGCAGAAUGGGGUUGGACUCUAAAAGCUUCCAGCAAAAUGCUGAUUUACUUUCGGGGACAUGCAUUGAAUAUCCCCAUUCCCCUUUUGGAAAAUUUUCCACAACUAAGAAUUCUUUUCGAUAUACUCGCAGAUGUAUAAAACCCCCCGAGGGCAUGCUAUUAUUCAAGAUUUCAUCUUUAGUUUUACAAAUAUUUCCAGUAAACACAUGUACGUGUGUAUGUAUAUAUGAAUAUGUAUACUAUUACGACAAACAAUAUAUAAAUAUGGGAAUAUGGAUUAAACCUAGAACUUGUUGUUGGGAAUGACUCAUCCCUCGGCAGCAACGGGUACGUUGAGGACGGGCUUUGCCUCCAGAGCUGGUUCCUGGGCAGGCUGUGACUGGACGAGCACCUUGGUGGGCAGGAGAUGCUUGAGGGGCUCUAGGAUGCGCGCCUGCUGCAGAUAGGUGAGCUGCUGCUGCUCCAGCUGCAGGAGGCUGAUGCCCAGGUGAACGGUGAGCGACUGGGGCGGGAAGAUGCCAUGGAUGCACAGUUCAUAAAAAUACGAAUCAACGCAAAAUUCAAAAGAAAAUUUGAAACAAGCAAUCCAUGCCCCACAAAACCCCAGAUGUCAAAUUCGUCGUCGUGUGAGAAUACUGGAAAAAUAUCAGUAUAGUUCGGAGCGUCGGAAGUUAAACACAUAAAAAUAAAAUUCUUAAUUUCAAAAUUUUGUAAAAUAUUUAUUUCGGUUUUUAAUUUCGGUUUUUUUUUUUCAAUUAGGUUUAAGCAUAAAAGUGAUUAGUUUUUUUUUAGUUUUUAAAGUUAAGCAUAAAGUGAAAGUCGUACAAAAUAAUAAUACUUCCCCAAGAUACACAAGGCAUACAAAUACUUCUCCAAGAUCCAUCCAAGACACAUCUGUUGAUUGUUUCACAAGAGCCGCAAGCAGAGAGUCCAUAUUCAUAAAUACCUGGCAAAAAAAAAACUACAAAACAUACGGCUGUAAACUGUGGUGGCCCAAGAAGAUACAAUUAUAAUUCAUUUGACCGCUUUUCUACACAAACCUACAUAAAUACGGACACUCUACGUCCAUAUUCAUAAAUACCUGGCAAAAAAAAAAACUACAAAACAUACGGCUGUAAACUGUGGUGGCACAAGAAGAUACAAUUAUACUUCAUUUUACCGCUUUUCUACACAAACCUACAUAAAUACGGACACUCUACGUCCAUAUUCAUAAAUACCUGGCGAAAAGAAAACUACAAAUCGUACGGCUGUAAACUGUGGCGGCGCAAUGAGGUACAACACGGCUUCUUCUGAUAGUUUUUCUACACAAACCUACAUAAAUACGGGCAUCUGAUGAAUCUGGGGGCUCCGAGUAGAAUCGCAAGUAGAACCAAUACUUUGUUUUGACACUGAUUCGGCUAUCGGAAAUUAAAUACUGUGGUUAUCGGGUGAAUGGAUAGGAAUAUUAUAUUUUGCUACUAAUAAUUAUAUUACUCGUGAUUAUAUUUUGAUACUAAAACACACAAA
Molecule: long non-coding RNA, 3693 nt
Organism: Drosophila miranda
Lineage: Eukaryota; Metazoa; Arthropoda; Insecta; Diptera; Drosophilidae
Exons: 12
Source: RefSeq, a predicted model, not a curated record